CAGCAUUUUUCCAAGGGUUGUGGCUGGUUGUAGCCAUGGGAUGGAUCUCCAACUGCAUGUGAGAGCAACCUGGAGAGACUGACAGCUCGGGUCAAAGCCAAAACUCAAGGCAGCUGCCACUUGCCUUUCCUGUAUUA
This is a small nucleolar RNA of Molossus molossus (Pallas's mastiff bat), 137 nucleotides long. RefSeq annotates it as small nucleolar RNA SNORA44. The record is from RefSeq and is a predicted model, not a curated record. Lineage: Eukaryota; Metazoa; Chordata; Mammalia; Chiroptera; Molossidae. The transcript has a single exon.